GACGAAAGUGGCAAGCGUUAUUCGGAUUUACUGGGCAUAAAGCGCGCGUAGGCGGCUUGGCAAGUCGGGGGUGAAAGCCCGCAGCUCAACUGCGGAACUGCCUUCGAUACUGCCGGGCUUGAGGGCGGGAGGGGUGAUUGGAACUCCAGGUGUAGCGGUGAAAUGCGUAGAUAUCUGGAGGAACACCGGAGGCGAAGGCGAAUCACUGGACCGCUUCUGACGCUGAGGCGCGAAAGCUAGGGGAGCAAACAGG
This 253-nucleotide ribosomal RNA is filed under the name uncultured bacterium. RNAcentral describes it as "partial 16S ribosomal RNA". It matches the Rfam family "Bacterial small subunit ribosomal RNA", at positions 524 to 776 of the family's 1533-position model. The record is from RNAcentral.